Molecule: ribosomal RNA, 412 nt
Filed under: uncultured microorganism
Description: bacterial SSU rRNA
Rfam family: Bacterial small subunit ribosomal RNA
Source: RNAcentral
GAGUUUGAUCAUGGCUCAGAUUGAACGCUGGCGGCAUGCCUUACACAUGCAAGUCGAACGGCAGCAUGAUCUAGCUUGCUAGAUUGAUGGCGAGUGGCGAACGGGUGAGUAAUACAUCGGAACGUGCCCUGUAGUGGGGGAUAACUAGUCGAAAGAUUAGCUAAUACCGCAUACGACCUGAGGGUGAAAGUGGGGGACCGCAAGGCCUCAUGCUAUAGGAGCGGCCGAUGUCUGAUUAGCUAGUUGGUGGGGUAAAGGCCCACCAAGGCGGCGAUCAGUAGCUGGUCUGAGAGGACGAUCAGCCACACUGGGACUGAGACACGGCCCAGACUCCUACGGGAGGCAGCAGUGGGGAAUUUUGGACAAUGGGCGAAAGCCUGAUCCAGCAAUGCCGCGUGUGUGAAGAAGGCCU